This 112-nucleotide Y RNA is filed under the name Carlito syrichta (Philippine tarsier). Its description in RNAcentral is "Y RNA (ENSTSYG00000020970.2)". It matches the Rfam family "Y RNA". Rfam says of the family: Y RNAs are components of the Ro ribonucleoprotein particle (Ro RNP), in association with Ro60 and La proteins. The Y RNAs and Ro60 and La proteins are well conserved, but the function of the Ro RNP is not known. The record is from Rfam by way of RNAcentral. Lineage: Eukaryota; Metazoa; Chordata; Mammalia; Primates; Tarsiidae.
GGCUGGUGCAAAGGUAGUGAGUUAUCUUGGUUGAUUGUUCAGUCAAUUACAGAUCGAACUCCUUGUUCUAUUCUUUUCUCCCUUUCUCACUACUGCACUUGAUCAGCCUUUA